UGUGUUCUGGGGGUUUGUUUUCUAG
This 25-nucleotide non-coding RNA is filed under the name Cricetulus griseus (Chinese hamster). The record is from RNAcentral. Lineage: Eukaryota; Metazoa; Chordata; Mammalia; Rodentia; Cricetidae.